Molecule: long non-coding RNA, 1275 nt
Filed under: Drosophila guanche
Lineage: Eukaryota; Metazoa; Arthropoda; Insecta; Diptera; Drosophilidae
Source: RNAcentral
GCUCCGCUACGAUCAGUUUGUCAGCUGAUUGAUUGUCACGGAGUCAGCUGUUAAGUCUUAUUUGGCUAAUCCCUCCCUCCCAAUCCAACUUACGGCGUAGUGAAUCCUGUGGGUUGUCGUUGGUGGUUGUAAUUCCCUUCGGUAUUAACUCACAUCACUAAUAACAUUUCACAGAACAAAAAUAUCAAUUUUUGUACAAGACGAUCGAAUGUUGAAUGCAGGUUUAGGAACACACCAAACACACACUAAAAUAGAAGGGAAGUUAAUAUUUCCCUCGCCAGAUGGUGAUAAAAUAUUAUAAUCAUCCAAUUAGAGAAUUAUUAUUGAAUCCAAUUAAUUUCAUACACACUUUAGGUCACUGGCUGAAUGGCAAAGUAAAUCCUUUGACAAGCAGGUUACCACUUAACAAGCAGUUCAUUUCUUUAUUUUAACUGUUCCGCCUCGGCUGCCACCAACCACGUGACGGCACUCGGCACUCUCUUCGGAUGAAGUUAUCCCCCUAAGAGGGGAACCUAAGAGAUAAUCCCAGAGGCAGAGGCAUAGCAGCAGCAUUUUAUGCAUCAUUUGAAUGGUGCACAAGCACUGUAGGUGGCCCACACCCACGCGACUUGCUUUGCACACAGAAAAAACACACGUGACACACACACACACACACACACACAUGCACAUAAUUAUGUAAGCUCCUGCUCCUUCCCGGACAACAGCUGAUUGCGGCACAGGAAAACGAGACACACAAACACACACAAAAAUUUACAAAAUAUUUGUUUGAAAAGUUUCGGAAAGCACGAACACGUCAGAGAGCCAGCGAAAAAUCUUUUGCAUUGAUUUUGAAACACCACCCCACUGCUGCUGGCAGGGAACGCGACGCAAUUGAACGACAACGAAGCAGGGCAGAAUGAAAGAAAGCAAAAACCACCGAAUACCGUGCCCGAAACAAAAGCGGGCAAAACGGAACACGGGAGUACAGCAAGGACGUAGCAGCAAGCUUAAGGCAUCAUCCAGCUUUGACUGGAACUAAACGGAAUGUUGCUGCUGGCAUUCCGGGCACUGCUGGUGCUGCUGCUACUGCUACUGCUGCAGUGGGGGCGCAACUAGUGCGCCAUGCUGUGGCACAGGACAGUCACAGGCCGCCCGCCUCGUCGUGUGUCACUGAGUCGAUUGACCGUUCGGUUCGGGAGGGCGACCGAUAUCCUUUCCCUGUAGUUGUUGUUGUUGCUCUACCCAACACGAAUAAAUAUUGGGAUGAAUGGGUAUAUAAAUAUAACCAGAUUAUUG